This 491-nucleotide ribosomal RNA is filed under the name uncultured bacterium. RNAcentral describes it as "partial 16S ribosomal RNA". It matches the Rfam family "Bacterial small subunit ribosomal RNA", at positions 29 to 507 of the family's 1533-position model. The record is from RNAcentral.
GUGAACGCUGGCGGUAGGCCUAACACAUGCCAGUCGAACGGCAGCACAGUAAGAGCUUGCUCUUACGGGUGGCGAGUGGCGGACGGGUGAGGAAUACAUCGGAAUCUACUUUUUCGUGGGGGAUAACGUAGGGAAACUUACGCUAAUAUCGCAUACGACCUACGGGUGAAAGCAGGGGAUCUUCGGACCUUGCGCGAUUGAAUGAGCCGAUGUCGGAUUAGCUAGUUGGCGGGGUAAAGGCCCACCAAGGCGACGAUCCGUAGCUGGUCUGAGAGGAUGAUCAGCCACACUGGAACUGAGACACGGUCCAGACCCCUACGGGAGGCAGCAGUGGGGAAUAUUGGACAAUGGGCGCAAGCCUGAUCCAGCCAUACCGCGUGGGUGAAGAAGGCCUUCGGGUUGUAAAGCCCUUUUGUUGGGAAAGAAAAGCAGCAGGUUAAUACCCCGCUGUUCUGACGGUACCCAAAGAAUAAGCACCGGCUAACUUCGCG